UACGUAGGUGGCAAGCGUUGUCCGGAAUUACUGGGCGUAAAGGGCGCGUAGGCGGUCAGGUCAGUCCCGUGUGAAAUCCCUCGGCUCAACUGAGGAACUGCACGGGAAACUGCCUGGCUUGAGUUCGGGAGAGGGAAGCGGAAUUCCGGGUGUAGCGGUGAAAUGCGUAGAUAUCUGGAGGAAUACCGGUGGCGAAGGCGGCAUCCUGGACCAUUACUGACGCUGAGGCGCGAAAGCUAGGGGAGCAAACGGG
RNAcentral lists this ribosomal RNA (253 nucleotides) under uncultured bacterium. RNAcentral's name for it is "partial 16S ribosomal RNA". It matches the Rfam family "Bacterial small subunit ribosomal RNA", at positions 524 to 776 of the family's 1533-position model. The record is from RNAcentral.